RNAcentral lists this long non-coding RNA (125 nucleotides) under Polistes fuscatus (common paper wasp). Its description in RNAcentral is "uncharacterized LOC122520357". The record is from RNAcentral. Lineage: Eukaryota; Metazoa; Arthropoda; Insecta; Hymenoptera; Vespidae.
AACAAUUAACAGAAAAAAUGAAAGAAAACAAUGCCUUACCGAUGAAGUUUGAAAAACGGGCAAACGUCAUUGCUUGCCCCGGAAUUGCAAUGAGUGGAAUCCAAUUUAAAGAAAUAAUAUUUAAA